GCCGUGGUUUCUUCAACUAAGGACUUGAUCUCCCAAGGCACUAGAUUAGGGUUUCGAAUGGCAUCCACAAGAGGGCCGAAGAGGUAGUGGCAGAUUGUGCAAAACCAUCGAUCACGAUGCCGGAGGAAUCUCGACACACGUAGGCCACCGAAGCUUUGCUACAAUUGUACUGCUUCGUCUCGGUUUCACCCCAUAAUAGCAUCUAUUGGACUUGGCGUUUGCUAAAGCCGUAUGCAUGACUUGUUCCAGGUUUGGUUGCUGUUGGCGAAAGAUGAAGUUGUUGCGGGCUUUCCAGAUUUGCCAAAUGAUGGAUGCAGUUGUCUUCAAAUCUGGUAAGCCGUCUCUGUUUUCAAUUAAGUCGACCAACCAUGAUUCUAUCCGAUGAACUCCACGGAAAUGUUGCUUUAUGUUGAUUGCUGGGUUGAACUAGAUAUUUUGAGUCCAUGGGCUAAGAAAAGAUGUUCUGGUGUUUUUAGGAUCUGAUCAUUGCACAUACAGCAAUUUGGAUAUGAUAAUAUGUGUCGAUGGUAUAGAUUUUCUCUA
Long non-coding RNA from Eucalyptus grandis, 543 nucleotides. RefSeq lists it as uncharacterized. The transcript is spliced from 3 exons. The record is from RefSeq and is a predicted model, not a curated record. Lineage: Eukaryota; Viridiplantae; Streptophyta; Magnoliopsida; Myrtales; Myrtaceae.